RNAcentral lists this ribosomal RNA (257 nucleotides) under uncultured bacterium. RNAcentral describes it as "partial 16S ribosomal RNA". It matches the Rfam family "Bacterial small subunit ribosomal RNA", at positions 524 to 776 of the family's 1533-position model. The record is from RNAcentral.
UACGUAGGGUGCGAGCGUUGUCCGGAAUUACUGGGCGUAAAGAGCUCGUAGGUGGUUUGUCGCGUUGUUCGUGAAAACUCACAGCUCAACUGUGGGCGUGCGGGCGAUACGGGCAGACUAGAGUACUGCAGGGGAGACUGGAAUUCCUGGUGUAGCGGUGGAAUGCGCAGAUAUCAGGAGGAACACCGGUGGCGAAGGCGGGGUCUCUGGGGCAGUAACUGACGCUGGAGGAGCGAAAGCCGUGGGGAGCGAACAGG